This 210-nucleotide ribosomal RNA is filed under the name Lactarius akahatsu. RNAcentral's name for it is "partial 28S ribosomal RNA". The stretch from base 50 to 210 matches the Rfam family "Eukaryotic large subunit ribosomal RNA", at positions 1 to 159 of the family's 3401-position model. Lineage: Eukaryota; Fungi; Basidiomycota; Agaricomycetes; Russulales; Russulaceae. The record is from RNAcentral.
UUUGGGCGUGUCUCCCUUCUCGGGAGACUCUCUCAACCCCAAGAACCCUUGACCUCAAAUCGGGUGAGACUACCCGCUGAACUUAAGCAUAUCAAUAAGCGGAGGAAAAGAAACUAACAAGGAUUCCCCUAGUAACUGCGAGUGAAGCGGGAAAAGCUCAAAUUUAAAAUCUGGCGGUCGAAGGCCGUCCGAGUUGUAAUUUAGAGAAGC